This 470-nucleotide long non-coding RNA is filed under the name Populus trichocarpa (black cottonwood). RNAcentral's name for it is "long non-coding RNA (PTRI_LNC000781)". The record is from RNAcentral. Lineage: Eukaryota; Viridiplantae; Streptophyta; Magnoliopsida; Malpighiales; Salicaceae.
CAAUUUAUUAGAAAAUACAUCCAUGAUUUUUCUUUCACGGAGAAAAAAAGGAACACUCUGAACUCUGAUAUUACAUGACUAGCUUUAACAUUUCACAAAAACAUGAAGUAUCACGCAAGGGUUUGUAUGCCAGGCCAGACUGGUGGAAAAAUCAAUUUUUGAUCAGGGUCAGAUGGAUCCAACUUGAACAUUGAUACAGGGCUUCCUUUGUCCCCAAUAAGAAAUCACAUGACUUCCACAUAUACCGGGGAAAAAAAAGGGGCAUGGAGCACCAGCUCGAAUGCAAGAAAAUUGAUUGAUUGGGAUUCAGAACUGAACUUGCUGGCUAGCUUACAUUGCAACCCAGCAAUGCUCACUUUUUAAUUCAUAGGAAGACAGUUGUAUAUCUUUUCAGAAACACCGUCCAUUAAAAAAGUAAAAGUAAAGCAGUACCAGCAUGAAACUGCAGCUUCAAGGUCAGAACUACUCUC